RNAcentral lists this ribosomal RNA (142 nucleotides) under uncultured compost bacterium. RNAcentral describes it as "partial 16S rRNA". It matches the Rfam family "Bacterial small subunit ribosomal RNA", at positions 355 to 507 of the family's 1533-position model. The record is from RNAcentral.
UGGGGAAUAUUGCACAAUGGGGGAAACCCUGAUGCAGCGACGCCGCGUGAGGGAUGACGGCCUUCGGGUUGUAAACCUCUUUCAGUAGGGAAGAAGCCUUCGGGUGACGGUACCUGCAGAAGAAGUACCGGCUAACUACGUG